Molecule: long non-coding RNA, 1332 nt
Filed under: Panax ginseng (ginseng)
Lineage: Eukaryota; Viridiplantae; Streptophyta; Magnoliopsida; Apiales; Araliaceae
Description: long non-coding RNA (PGIN_LNC012559)
Source: RNAcentral
UUUCUGUCGUCUUAGGUGUUCUUGAGCCUCAAGAACACUGUCAGACCAGUCUCAAGGGUGCACGUUUGACCGGCUAUGAUUCUCAGUGUAAUCAGGAUCUUGGCUAGCUUGAACUGUGAUCGUGUAGUGCUUAUGUAACACUACAACAUACAACUAUCAUCUUGAUCAUACAACAAAUACACAAGGAGAUCCGGGCUUGCAAAUAUGCUGUCAGAGCAUUCCUGGGUUUUCUAGAAACCCAGGUAGUCGACCAGUCACUUUUAUGGUCCAUUUAAUCUAGGUUUCAGUCAUACUUUAUGUCGUUUAAUGGUUCAAAUCUAUAGUAUAUACGACAAGGAACAUUGCUAUAACAAAAAAUCAAUUUAACAACAACAGAUCCACAAGAUAUGACUCGGUCAAACCCUGUCAAAGGGUUGUUCAUCCGGUUUUUUGGAAAUUCCAGAAAAUAGCUAUCAUGGUCGAGUAGGAUACUUUGACCACUUGCUACAUUCGAUCUGUUGAUAGAUUACACGAUCUAAGGCCACAAAUAUAAAGUACACAUGUUAGACUACCAACUGAUUACAACAACAUCAACAAAUAACGUAAACACUGAUAGAUCAAGGCGUUAUAAAAACUUGUCAGGCGCUAGUUUAACAUUUCUGGGUUACCCAGAUUGUACUCGGUCAUGGUCGGUCAACCGACUUUGACCGAUUAUAACUUGAAAUCUAGAUGUUCAAGGACUGAGAUUCCAGUUCCAGAAUAAAUUACUCAUGGCAUACUACAACUUCAAAACAUAAAACACCAAAGAUCAUUAAAAGAGAAUGAUAUGUGGCUUCUGACAUUGGUUGUCAGACCACCUUUAUAGCUCAAGAACAGUUUUGAAAAAUCAUCUAUUUAAAGCAUUUUGAUGUUAUGAAUCCAUGAUGGAUCAACAUAGAUCGACUAAAAACAACUUCUAACACAAAUAUAAACACAUAAUCACAAAAAUUUUCUUAGCAUACAAGAUCAAAAUAGGUUAGGGCUUUUAUACCUUCUUGAUUCCGAUCUUUGAUCUAUGCUUUCCUAACUGUUUUUGGUGUUCUAGUAACUGAUUAUAUGACUGAGAGACUUUAAGAAAUCGGAGGUUUGAAGAGAGAAAGAGUUGUUGAGAGAUAAAGUGCAAAAUAAGAAAUGUGUAUACUUUCUCUCUCUCUCUCUCAAUCCUUUACAAUCUCUUGAAUGCAAUAAAAAAUCUGAUAUAGCUGUCAUAUAGGGGCUGAAAUGCUGAGAUUUUUAGUCACAAGUUAAAGCAUUAGGUUACCAACUAAAGCUUUUGCCAAUUUUACAAGUCAACUUAUUAAUAAUGUAAAAAAG